RNAcentral lists this ribosomal RNA (725 nucleotides) under Vibrio sp. KR04-20. RNAcentral's name for it is "bacterial SSU rRNA". It matches the Rfam family "Bacterial small subunit ribosomal RNA", at positions 97 to 818 of the family's 1533-position model. The record is from RNAcentral. Lineage: Bacteria; Pseudomonadati; Pseudomonadota; Gammaproteobacteria; Vibrionales; Vibrionaceae.
GGCGGACGGGUGAGUAAUGCCUAGGAAAUUGCCUUGAUGUGGGGGAUAACCAUUGGAAACGAUGGCUAAUACCGCAUAAUGCCUACGGGCCAAAGAGGGGGANCUUCGGACCUCUCGCGUCAAGAUAUGCCUAGGUGGGAUUAGCUAGUUGGUGAGGUAAUGGCUCACCAAGGCGACGAUCCCUAGCUGGUCUGAGAGGAUGAUCAGCCACACUGGAACUGAGACACGGUCCAGACUCCUACGGGAGGCAGCAGUGGGGAAUAUUGCACAAUGGGCGAAAGCCUGAUGCAGCCAUGCCGCGUGUAUGAAGAAGGCCUUCGGGUUGUAAAGUACUUUCAGUUGUGAGGAAGGGUGUGUAGUUAAUAGCUGCGCAUCUUGACGUUAGCAACAGAAGAAGCACCGGCUAACUCCGUGCCAGCAGCCGCGGUAAUACGGAGGGUGCGAGCGUUAAUCGGAAUUACUGGGCGUAAAGCGCAUGCAGGUGGUUCAUUAAGUCAGAUGUGAAAGCCCGGGGCUCAACCUCGGAACUGCAUUUGAAACUGGUGAACUAGAGUGCUGUAGAGGGGGGUAGAAUUUCAGGUGUAGCGGUGAAAUGCGUAGAGAUCUGAAGGAAUACCAGUGGCGAAGGCGGCCCCCUGGACAGACACUGACACUCAGAUGCGAAAGCGUGGGGAGCAAACAGGAUUAGAUACCCUNNNAGUCCACGCCGUAAACGAUGUCUACUU